GGCGGCAUGGCUCAGGUGGUAGAGCAAGUGGUCUGGGAAUCAGAGGGUUCCUGGUUCAAUUCCCGGCUCUUCCA
Gymnothorax javanicus (giant moray) is the source of this 74-nucleotide non-coding RNA. The record is from the annotation of a GenBank genome assembly. NCBI's taxonomy places the organism in Eukaryota, Metazoa, Chordata, Actinopteri, Anguilliformes, Muraenidae.